RNAcentral lists this ribosomal RNA (445 nucleotides) under uncultured bacterium. RNAcentral's name for it is "partial 16S ribosomal RNA". It matches the Rfam family "Bacterial small subunit ribosomal RNA", at positions 354 to 796 of the family's 1533-position model. The record is from RNAcentral.
GUAGGGAAUAUUGGGCAAUGGAGGCAACUCUGACCCAGCCAUGCCGCGUGCAGGAUGACGGCCCUCUGGGUUGUAAACUGCUUUUAUACGGGAAGAAAAAAUAUUACGUGUAGUAUACUGACGGUACCGUAAGAAUAAGGAUCGGCUAACUCCGUGCCAGCAGCCGCGGUAAUACGGAGGAUCCAAGCGUUGUCCGGAUUUAUUGGGUUUAAAGGGUGCGUCGGCGGAUCUUUAAGUCAGUGGUGAAAGCCUGCAGCUUAACUGUAGAAGUGCCAUUUAAACUGAAGAUCUUGAAUGUGGUUAAAGUAGGCGGAAUGUAUCAUGUAGCGGUGAAAUGCUUAGAUAUGAUACAGAACACAGAUAGCGAAGGCAGAUUGCUGAACCAUUAUUGACGCUGAGGCACGAAAGCGUGGGGAGCGAACAGGAUUAGAAACCCGGGUAGUCC